RNAcentral lists this ribosomal RNA (622 nucleotides) under bacterium 5RD. Its description in RNAcentral is "bacterial SSU rRNA". It matches the Rfam family "Bacterial small subunit ribosomal RNA", at positions 65 to 669 of the family's 1533-position model. The record is from RNAcentral.
AGCGAACAGAUAAGGAGCUUGCUCCUUUGACGUUAGCGGCGGACGGGUGAGUAACACGUGGGUAACCUACCUAUAAGACUGGAAUAACUCCGGGAAACCGGGGCUAAUGCCGGAUAAUAUUUAGAACCGCAUGGUUCUAAAGUGAAAGAUGGUUUUACUAUCACUUAUAGAUGGACCCGCGCCGUAUUAGCUAGUUGGUGGGGUAAUGGCUUACCAAGGCAACGAUACGUAGCCGACCUGAGAGGGUGAUCGGCCACACUGGAACUGAGACACGGUCCAGACUCCUACGGGAGGCAGCAGUAGGGAAUCUUCCGCAAUGGGCGAAAGCCUGACGGAGCAACGCCGCGUGAGUGAUGAAGGUCUUCGGAUCGUAAAACUCUGUUAUUAGGGAAGAACAAAUGUGUAAGUAACUGUGCACGUCUUGACGGUACCUAAUCAGAAAGCCACGGCUAACUACGUGCCAGCAGCCGCGGUAAUACGUAGGUGGCAAGCGUUAUCCGGAAUUAUUGGGCGUAAAGCGCGCGUAGGCGGUUUCUUAAGUCUGAUGUGAAAGCCCACGGCUCAACCGUGGAGGGUCAUUGGAAACUGGGAAACUUGAGUGCAGAAGAGGAAAGUGGAAUUC